This 518-nucleotide ribosomal RNA is filed under the name uncultured Lactobacillus sp. RNAcentral's name for it is "bacterial SSU rRNA". It matches the Rfam family "Bacterial small subunit ribosomal RNA", at positions 44 to 525 of the family's 1533-position model. Lineage: Bacteria; Bacillati; Bacillota; Bacilli; Lactobacillales; Lactobacillaceae. The record is from RNAcentral.
GUGCCUAAUACAUGCAAAGUCGAGCGAGCUUGCCUAUUGAAAUUCUUCGGAAUGGACAUAGAUCAAGCUAGCGCGGAUGGGGUGAGUAACGCGUGGGUAACCCUGCCCUUAAGUCUGGGAUACCAUUUGGAAAACAGAUGCUAAUACCGGAUAAAAAGCUACUUUCGCAUGAAAGAAGUUUAAAAAGGCGGCGUAAGCUGUCGCUAAAGGAUGGACCUGCGAUGCAUUAGCUAGUUGGUAAGGUAACGGCUUACCAAGGCGAUGAUGCAUAGCCGAGUUGAGAGACUGAUCGGCCACAUUGGGACUGAGACACGGCCCAAACUCCUACGGGAGGCAGCAGUAGGGAAUUUUCCACAAUGGACGCAAGUCUGAUGGAGCAACGCCGCGUGAGUGAAGAAGGUUUUCGGAUCGUAAAGCUCUGUUGUUGGUGAAGAAGGAUAGAGGUAGUAACUGGCCUUUAUUUGACGGUAAUCAACCAGAAAGUCACGGCUAACUACGUGCCAGCAGCCGCGGUAAAU